GAUGAACGCUGGCGGCGUGCCUAAUACAUGCAAGUCGAGCGAACAGACGAGGAGCUUGCUCCUCUGACGUUAGCGGCGGACGGGUGAGUAACACGUGGAUAACCUACCUAUAAGACUGGGAUAACUUCGGGAAACCGGAGCUAAUACCGGAUAAUAUAUUGAACCGCAUGGUUCAAUAGUGAAAGACGGUUUUGCUGUCACUUAUAGAUGGAUCCGCGCCGCAUUAGCUAGUUGGUAAGGUAACGGCUUACCAAGGCAACGAUGCGUAGCCGACCUGAGAGGGUGAUCGGCCACACUGGAACUGAGACACGGUCCAGACUCCUACGGGAGGCAGCAGUAGGGAAUCUUCCGCAAUUGGCGAAAGCCUGACGGAGCAACGCCGCGUGAGUGAUGAAGGUCUUCGGAUCGUAAAACUCUGUUAUUAGGGAAGAACAAAUGUGUAAGUAACUAUGCACGUCUUGACGGUACCUAAUCAGAAAGCCACGGCUAACUACGUG
Molecule: ribosomal RNA, 497 nt
Filed under: uncultured bacterium
Lineage: Bacteria
Description: partial 16S ribosomal RNA
Rfam family: Bacterial small subunit ribosomal RNA
Source: RNAcentral